GGGCUGCUGCCAUGCCCCCACAGCCAUGGGGAGCCCUUGGGAUUUGGGAGCCCCCCCAAAGUGCCCGUAGCACACAGCAGAGCCAGCCCUGCACCAGGCAGGAUGUGACACCCAUGGGGAGUAACGAGAAGUCCCCGAGGUGCAGCUCACCGAGAAAUAACGUCCUCACAUCGUGCCCAGCUCGGCGCAGGCAGAGGGGAAGCUGCCAUCUACAGGCACAGCACCCGCACAGCGCCCUCCUGCUUGCUCCGGGCUGGCACACCUGCAGAUGGAGAAGGCAAGCCAGGGAAAUGAGGAAGAGGAGAAAAAAGAAUAAGUGACACCCGGUGAAGGCUUCUUGAUGUGCCUACAGGAUGGCAAGAGGUGGAUCUUGGCAAUUUAAGUAAAGGCGCAUGGAAAUACAGCGUGGGUUUGGCACGGAGGUGCUGGCACUUGGGCUGCUGCUGCUCAACCCUGGAAACACAAUCACAGAAUCACAGAAACGCCAGCUUGGAAAGGACCUGCAAGAUCAUCCCGUCCAACCAAAUGCCAAAAAGCAAUGCCAGCAGCUCUCCGAGGCGGUGCGUUUAAAGCAGGAGCCACGUCCUGGGGAUAAAGAUCCAACCCCGCGUUGCCCCAGGGAAGAGAAAAGGCAUCGGCCAACUGAUGCUGGGCACACACAAGGCUCGUGGAGCCUCCUGUGUGGAGCCUGCUCCCAUUCCCAACCUCUUCUUCCUCAUAUUGAAAGCAUUCAUCAAAGCGGGUGGCACAUCGCGUGCGGCUGAGCGCCGGGAGCGGCGCAGGGGAGAAUUAGGGGAGAAACUUUCCGGGCGAGGUUUGUUCUCCCCGUGCAGCCCGGCAGAGCACAAGCCGGUCUAAUCACAAGCUACAGUCCUUCGCCAUCUGCUUGGAGCCUAAUUACAAAUGCAGGAAAAUAAUGUGCCUUACAAUUGCACCAGUAAAUGCUGUAAAUGAUUUAAAUGCAUGCAUAUGUUCCCUGCAGAAUUCAGCAUGCAUCUGCGGCUCCUUCUCCUCGCAUUAGGCUCACAAAUCAAGGGAAAAAAUACCCAGAUCUGACGAACAGAACGUCCCUAGGACGGUGAUUUUUAUCCCUCUUUCUUCCCCCCUGCUGGAAUGGCAAACGGGGCUUUUUUGUAACAAUUCAUUCGACAGCGUUUUCCUCGCUUCCAUUUAAAAAAACUGUUGAGCGCUGCCGUGUAAAUAUAGUACAAAUUACCCCAUAAAGCACGCAGAAGGAGCACAGCAGCCGGGCACGCCUGCAGCUGGCUGGCACCGCUUCAAAGCGGAGCUGUUCGGGGCGCACAGCUCACCCACGGAGUCCUGGACCCCCAAAUUUCCACCCCCCCCUCCCCAGCUCAGCUUCCAUCCGCCUUGCUCCUGGCGCUGCAGCUGCCUCCGGUUUGGCCCCAGCAUCCCAGGAAAACGCUGAAAGGAUGGCUCCUGCCCCAAAAUGCGCGCGGCCUCUUCUGUCCCUCGCCAAGGCGAUGCUGGGGGGCAGCGAGGUGGGUUCAAAGAUGCUCCCAGCUGCCAAAUGCUGGCAGCGCCGUGCCAAAAGCCCCCCCGUGCCUCGAAGGCUGGUGUUACAGAUGGAGAGCUGGCAGGGAGCAGCAGCACGACCCCGCAGGGCGCACGCAGGGUUUUGGAGAUGAGCACGUCGCUCACAACCCCUCCGAGAGGCUCUGGAGGAGCUGGCAUCGCCCCGAGGACAGGCAGGGCACAGAAGAGGUCGGGCAUCAGCUGGGUUAUUUCUUCUGGGCAGAAGCUGCGACAGAUGCAGCUCCUCUGCUCGCUGCCCUUUCAUCCACCCCCUCUCUCCCUGCCAGCUUCCAGGGUUCGUUUCCUGCCUUCAAGGCAAGAGCAAAAGACUUGAGAGCAUCACCCGCACAUCUCCCCCCAAAAACUGCUCCAGGCAGACACCAGCACUUACACAGUAUCAAGAAUUAACUUUAUUAGUGACAAUCAAGUCCUGUCUGGAGAGGUAUCUGGUCACUUCCCUCUGUAACAUCACGGAGAGGAUGAGCGGAGCAGCCCGUAAUUAGCAGGACCUCCUGACCUGGCACCGGGCAGUUCAGGAACCUGCCCAGCACGAGACCUCUCCCCCUAAAAGCCCACCGAGGCCACCUGAAGCUGAAGACUUGAAUAUUUGAGAUGCCACCUGCAGGUGCUCAGCCCUGGGUAUUUCCAUCUCGGAAACAAUUUCACACCUGCAGGCAAGAAGCAUCUUGCACCCAGAGCGAGUCAGUGUCCCACCAGGGAAAUAUUAAAGCCAUCACCAGUGCUCGUGCACUGCAGAGCCUCUGUGUGCAAAGUCGUGGGCCGUACAGCUCAGCCUCUGUACCACGUGCCCUGUAAGUUUUCCACCCGUGUCAGGAUUUUAUGAUUUAAAAAU
Non-coding RNA from Anas platyrhynchos (mallard), 2389 nucleotides. NCBI's taxonomy places the organism in Eukaryota, Metazoa, Chordata, Aves, Anseriformes, Anatidae. The record is from RefSeq and is a predicted model, not a curated record.